Molecule: long non-coding RNA, 275 nt
Filed under: Solanum tuberosum (potato)
Lineage: Eukaryota; Viridiplantae; Streptophyta; Magnoliopsida; Solanales; Solanaceae
Description: long non-coding RNA (STUB_LNC000803)
Source: RNAcentral
AAUAAGAGUAGGAAAAUUCCGGUGAGAUGAUAGAAAAUCGCCGGAAAAUAUGAUCGGUGACACUGGUCCAUGGUCAUGUAGAGUCGUAGUUGGUGUUAUGACAGUAAGAGUGGAGUGAAGACUGAAGGGUGUAUUUAUUUGCAUGAAAGGAGUGAAUAAAUACUUACUUUAGUAUUAUUUUUUUCGUUUUGCGUUUGAUAUUUAUAUUAAAAUUCAAAUAACUCAAAAAUCAUUUUAAAAGGAAAUGAUACUCAAUAAACACAAUUCAUAGUCAA